Molecule: ribosomal RNA, 637 nt
Filed under: uncultured Propionibacterium sp.
Lineage: Bacteria; Bacillati; Actinomycetota; Actinomycetes; Propionibacteriales; Propionibacteriaceae
Description: bacterial SSU rRNA
Rfam family: Bacterial small subunit ribosomal RNA
Source: RNAcentral
CGCCUGGGGAGUGCGGCCGCAAGGCUAAAACUCAAAGGAAUUGACGGGGCCCCGCACAAGCGGCGGAGCAUGCGGAUUAAUUCGAUGCAACGCGUAGAACCUUACCUGGGUUUGACAUGGAUCGGGAGUGCUCAGAGAUGGGUGUGCCUCUUUUGGGGUCGGUCCACAGGUGGUGCAUGGCUGUCGUCAGCUCGUGUCGUGAGAUGUUGGGUUAAGUCCCGCAACGAGCGCAACCCUUGUUCACUGUUGCCAGCACGUUAUGGUGGGGACUCAGUGGAGACCGCCGGGGUCAACUCGGAGGAAGGUGGGGAUGACGUCAAGUCAUCAUGCCCCUUAUGUCCAGGGCUUCACGCAUGCUACAAUGGCUGGUACAGAGAGUGGCGAGCCUGUGAGGGUGAGCGAAUCUCGGAAAGCCGGUCUCAGUUCGGAUUGGGGUCUGCAACUCGACCUCAUGAAGUCGGAGUCGCUAGUAAUCGCAGAUCAGCAACGCUGCGGUGAAUACGUUCCCGGGGCUUGUACACACCGCCCGUCAAGUCAUGAAAGUUGGUAACACCCGAAGCCGGUGGCCUAACCGUUGUGGGGGAGCCGUCGAAGGUGGGACUGGUGAUUAGGACUAAGUCGUAACAAGGUAACCGUA